RNAcentral lists this ribosomal RNA (664 nucleotides) under uncultured bacterium. RNAcentral describes it as "bacterial SSU rRNA". It matches the Rfam family "Bacterial small subunit ribosomal RNA", at positions 33 to 670 of the family's 1533-position model. The record is from RNAcentral.
ACGCUGGCGGCGUGGAUAAGACAUGCAAGUCGAGCGCUGAUUUCAGGGUAGCAAUAUUCUGAAGUCGGAGCGGCGCAAGGGUGCGUAACACGUGGGUAAUCUGCCAUGAAGUUUGGAAUAACUUGCUGAAAGGCGAGCUAAUACCGGAUGUGACCGUUGGGAGGCCUCUCCCGAUAGUUAAAGCUGGGGACCGUAAGGCCUGGCGCUUCAUGAUGAACCCGCGGCCUAUCAGCUAGUUGGUGAGGUAACGGCCCACCAAGGCUAAGACGGGUAGCUGGUCUGAGAGGACGACCAGCCACACUGGAACUGAGACACGGUCCAGACACCUACGGGUGGCAGCAGUCGAGAAUUUUUCACAAUGGGCGCAAGCCUGAUGGAGCGACGCCGCGUGGGGGAUGAAUGGCUUCGGCCCGUAAACCCCUGUCAUUCGCGAUCAAACGUUAUUAUUUAAAAGAUGAUGACCUGAUAGUAGCGGAAGAGGAAGGGACGGCUAACUCUGUGCCAGCAGCCGCGGUAAUACAGAGGUCCCAAGCGUUGUUCGGAUUCACUGGGCGUAAAGGGUGCGUANGUGGUGAGGUAAGUCGGAUGUGAAAUCUCGGAGCUCAACUCCGAAACUGCAUUGGAAACUACCUCGCUCGAGGGUUGGAGGGGGGACUGGAAUGCU